Molecule: long non-coding RNA, 724 nt
Organism: Cornus florida
Lineage: Eukaryota; Viridiplantae; Streptophyta; Magnoliopsida; Cornales; Cornaceae
Exons: 3
Source: RefSeq, a predicted model, not a curated record
GAAGGGAUGCUUUUGGAAGGGAUAUUUGAACACAUGAGAAGUCACUUGGAUUGGAAUGUCAUAGGACCUUCUAAUUUGCUAUAAGCAACCUGAAAGAAGAUAAUGAGGGGUAAACGGAACAAGAACUUACGCAAAAAGAAUUUCAGCUAUAAUGAUGGCGGCCUUCUGGAGAAAUUAGGAAAGAAGCAAUGAGGCAGCAGGAAUAAGAUCCACCACAUGGAUAAGGGAAACAUACUCAGCAGCAGAAGAAUGGCCUGGUUCGCUACAUAAUUUGCCACUUCCCCUCUUAAUCUUGCAUUCACAUGCAGUCUCACAAUUGCCACUUGAGUGUCAUCUAUGGUUCAGUGGUUUAGAUUAAAGGAACUGAAAACAGUUGCCUGUUGCUUCUAUCUUCCUUAGACUUUGUAUAAAACAAAGUCUUUAGCUCCUCGCAGAUAUACCACGUCUCGUGCCCCUGAGAAAUACAAAUCAUUCUUCAAGUGAUUACUAAACGAUUACCGACAGGCAAGCACCACAAAAUUAUUGAAGUUGAGAUAUCAGAUUCUCUCUUUCUGCUCAAAUUGUGUGGUAAGCAAGCUUCUUAUGUGAUAUAGGUAGAAUUCCGUUGAACUUGUUUGACAAAUUUUGAAGUUGAAAAUAUAUGCUUCUUUUUACAUUCUUGUUUCAUUAAGUAGAAAAUUUUGAAGUAUAGAUUAUUUUUAUCUAUUAGCCAGAGAAAAAUCUA